GGACUACCGGGGUUUCUAAUCCUGUUUGCUCCCCACGCUUUCGCGCCUCAGCGUCAAUGUCGGUCCAGUUGGCCGCCUUCGCCACGGAUAUUCUUCCCAAUAUCUACGAAUUUCACCUCUACACUGGGAAUUCCACCAACCUCUACCGAAUUCAAGUAAAACAGUCUUGAGUGCAGUUCCAGGGUUGAGCCCUGGGCUUUCACACCCAACUUGUUAAACCGCCUACGCGCCCUUUACGCCCAGUAAUUCCGAACAACGCUAGCUCCCUUCGUAUUACCGCGGCUGCUGACAC
RNAcentral lists this unclassified non-coding RNA (292 nucleotides) under uncultured Rhodospirillales bacterium. RNAcentral's name for it is "contains 16S-23S intergenic spacer region". Lineage: Bacteria; Pseudomonadati; Pseudomonadota; Alphaproteobacteria; Rhodospirillales. The record is from RNAcentral.